GAUGAACGCUAGCUACAGGCUUAACACAUGCAAGUCGCGGGGCAGCAUGGGGGUUGCUUGCAACCCCUGAUGGCGACCGGCGCACGGGUGAGUAACGCGUAUCCAACCUGCCCUUCACCACGGGAUAACCCGGCGAAAGUCGGACUAAUACCGUAUGUUGUCCAUUGACGGCAUCCGAUUUGGACGAAAGGCGUGUCGCUGAAAGGAUGGGGAUGCGUACGAUUAGCUUGAGGGCGGGGUAACGGCCCACCGUGGCUACGAUCGGUAGGGGUUCUGAGGGGAAGGUCCCCCACACUGGAACUGAGACACGGUCCAGACUCCUACGGGAGGCAGCAGUGAGGAAUAUUGGUCAAUGAGCGUAAGCCUGAACCAGCCAAGUAGCGUGCAGGAUGACGGCCCUAUGGGUUGUAAACUGCUUUUAUGCGGGGAUAAAGUGGCCCACGGGUGGGCUUUUGCAGGUACCGAAUGAAUAAGGACCGGCUAAUUCCGUG
RNAcentral lists this ribosomal RNA (491 nucleotides) under uncultured bacterium. RNAcentral's name for it is "partial 16S ribosomal RNA". It matches the Rfam family "Bacterial small subunit ribosomal RNA", at positions 28 to 507 of the family's 1533-position model. The record is from RNAcentral.